UACGUAGGGUGCGAGCGUUGUCCGGAAUUAUUGGGCGUAAAGAGCUCGUAGGCGGUGUGUUACGUCAGCCGUGAAAACCUGCAGCUUAACUGUGGGCGUGCGGUCGAUACGGGCAUUACUGGAGUUCGGCAGGGGAGACUGGAAUUCCUGGUGUAGCGGUGAAAUGCGCAGAUAUCAGGAGGAACACCGGUGGCGAAGGCGGGUCUCUGGGCCGAUACUGACGCUGAGGAGCGAAAGCGUGGGGAGCAAACAGG
Molecule: ribosomal RNA, 254 nt
Filed under: uncultured bacterium
Lineage: Bacteria
Description: partial 16S ribosomal RNA
Rfam family: Bacterial small subunit ribosomal RNA
Source: RNAcentral